UGACCUCGAAUCAGGUAGGAAUACCCGCUGAACUUAAGCAUAUC
RNAcentral lists this ribosomal RNA (44 nucleotides) under Fusarium sp. REF205. RNAcentral describes it as "partial 28S ribosomal RNA". RNAcentral also lists the same sequence under 1 other name. Lineage: Eukaryota; Fungi; Ascomycota; Sordariomycetes; Hypocreales; Nectriaceae. The record is from RNAcentral.